GGUGAACGCUGGCGGUGUGCCUAAGACAUGCAAGUCGUGCGGUCCUUCCUUUUUGUACUUUAAAUAACUAGAGUAUAAAGAGGAUGGACAGCGGCGAACGGGUGAGUACAAAGCACGAACAUACCCUUUAGUGGAGCAUAGCUGGCCGAAAGGUUGGGUAAUUCUCCAUAAUACCUCCGGGUUAAAGACUUCGGUCGCUAAAGGAAUGGCGUGCUUAUUACCAGCUUGUUGGUAGGGUAAUGGCCUACCAAGGCUAUGACGGUUACCGGCUCUUAGCGGAGAGUCCGGCACAAUGGGACUGAGAUACGGCCCAUACACCUACGGGUGGCAGCAGUUAGGAAUCUUGCGCAAUGGACGAAAGUCUGACGCAGCGACACCGCGUGUGGGAUGACGGCCUUCGGGUUGUAAACCACUUUUAUUUGGUCAUAUGACCUUUUGAAUAAGCAACUACUAAUUAUGUGCCAGCAGUCGCGGUAAUACAUAAGUUGCAAGCGUUACCCGGUUUUACUGGGCGUAAAGAGUCUGUAGGCGGCCCAAAAAGUCUCAUUUCAAAGACUCCGGCUCAACCGGAGAAAGGGAUGGGAUACUAUUAGGCUAGAGUCAUACAGGAGCUACUGGAAUUUGUAGUGUGGGGGUAAAAUCCGUGGAUACUACAAAGAACACCAAGCGCGAAGGCGGGUAGCUAGGUAUGUACUGACGCUGAGAGACGAAAGCUAGGGUAGCAAAUCAGAUUAGAGACCUGAGUAGUCCUAGCCGUAAACGUUGUCUGUUAGUUCCGAGGUCUUCUUUGGAACGUAGUUAACGCGUUAAACAGACCGCCUGGGGAGUAUAGCCGCAAGGCCGAAACUCAAACGAAUUGGCGGGGAGGCGCACAACCAGUGGAGCAUGUGGUUCAAUUCGAUACGAAGCGAUAAACCUUACCUGGGCUUGACAUCCUGCUUAUAUUUUUUCCGAAAAGAAAAAAUUUAGUGGCAGGACAGCUGUUGCAUGGCUGUCGUCAGCUCGUGACGUGAGUUGUUCUCUUAAGUGAGGUAACGAGCGCAACCCCUGUGGUGUGUUUUUUUGUCACACCAGACUGCCUAGCAUUAUUUUUGUUGGGAGGAAGGAGGGGACGACGUCAAGUCAGCAUGAUGCUUAUGUCCAGGGCUACACACAUCCUACAAUGGGGCUCACAAAGGGUUGCAAUACCGCAAGGUGGAGCUAAUCCCCAAAGUGUCCCUCAGUUGGGAUUGCAGGCUGGAAUUCGCCUGCAUGAACUUGGAAUUGGUAGUAAUCGCAGGUCAGCAGACUGCGGUGAAUACGUUCUCGCCUCUUGCACACACUGCCCGUCAAAUCAGCAAAGUUGAGGGCACCCAAAGUACCACCUUUUGGUGGUCCUAAGGUGAAUUCAGCGAUGAGGGUU
RNAcentral lists this ribosomal RNA (1402 nucleotides) under uncultured Chloroflexota bacterium. Its description in RNAcentral is "bacterial SSU rRNA". It matches the Rfam family "Bacterial small subunit ribosomal RNA". Lineage: Bacteria; Bacillati; Chloroflexota. The record is from RNAcentral.